GACGAACGCUGGCGGCGUGCUUAACACAUGCAAGUCGAACGAUGAAGAAGAGAAACGCGAACUUCGGUUCAAAUUUCACUUCGGAUUAGUGGCAGACGGGUGAGUAACGCGUGAGCAACCUACCUCUUACAAAGGGAUAGCCUCGGGAAACCGUGAUUAAUACCAUAUGACACAUUCAUAAGGUAUCUUAAGAAUGUUAAAGCUACGGCGGUAAGAGAUGGGCUCGCGUCCCAUUAGCUAGUUGGUGAGGUAACGGCCCACCAAGGCGACGAUGGGUAACCGGGCAGUGAGGGGCGACGGUCACAUUGGAACUGAGACACGGUCCAAACUCCUACGCGAGGCAGCAGUGGGGAAUAAUGCAAAACGGAGGGAACUCAGAUGCAGCGACGGCGCGUGAGCGAUGAAGUAAUUCGUUUCAUAAAGCUCUGUUCUAUGGGAAGAAAAGGACUGUACCAAAAGAGAAAGCCCCGGCUAAAUUCGUG
RNAcentral lists this ribosomal RNA (482 nucleotides) under uncultured bacterium. Its description in RNAcentral is "partial 16S ribosomal RNA". It matches the Rfam family "Bacterial small subunit ribosomal RNA", at positions 28 to 507 of the family's 1533-position model. The record is from RNAcentral.